RNAcentral lists this ribosomal RNA (442 nucleotides) under uncultured bacterium. RNAcentral's name for it is "bacterial SSU rRNA". It matches the Rfam family "Bacterial small subunit ribosomal RNA", at positions 338 to 795 of the family's 1533-position model. The record is from RNAcentral.
CCUACGGGUGGCUGCAGUGGGGAAUAUUGCGCAAUGGGGGAAACCCUGACGCAGCAACGCCGCGUGAAGGAAGAAGGCUUUCGGGUUGUAAACUUCUUUGAUCAGGGAAGAAAAAAAUGACGGUACCUGAAAAACAAGCCACGGCUAACUACGUGCCAGCAGCCGCGGUAAUACGUAGGUGGCAAGCGUUAUCCGGAAUUACUGGGUGUAAAGAGCAUGUAGGCGGGAAAGCAAGUCGGAUGUUAAAUCUUGAGGCUCAACCUCAAGUAGCAUCUGAAACUGUUUUUCUUGAGUACUGGAGAGGAAAGUGGAAUUCCUAGUGUAGCGGUGAAAUGCGUAGAUAUUAGGAGGAACACCAGUGGCGAAGGCGGCUUUCUGGACAGUAACUGACGCUGAGAUGCGAAAGUGUGGGUAGCAAACAGGAUUAGAUACCCCGGUAGUC